GACCUAGAGCCACUCGCAAGAGAAGGUAUGGUAACCAAAAUCUAUCAGGAAAUAAAAGCUCAUCGUCAGAGCCUAUUUCCUGAUAGUCACGUUCCGAAAGGUUCGUGGGUGGCAUUUAUGCCAUC
Molecule: small RNA, 125 nt
Filed under: unclassified sequences
Description: LOOT RNA
Rfam family: LOOT RNA
About the family: Latescibacteria, OD1/Parcubacteria, OP11, TM7. Lineage (Microgenomates, aka OP11)
Source: Rfam by way of RNAcentral